CUUUCUUUGGCUUGUGAUAGAAACGUUGUGACUCGGUUAAGAUUUCCGAGAACGGAAAUCCAGAGCAAUCCUCGCGGGAGCGCGAUUCCCAAGCCCCAAGUCACAAGCCACGACUCCUGCGCCUCAGCCUCGGGCAUCAGUUUCCACGUUUCGCUCUCACAGGAAAGGCCUGUCAAAGGGAGGCCACUCACUGCUGCCAGGGGCUUUGUGAUCUGUGCAGCCCCCAGUGAAGUUUACAUGUUGUGGGUUGUGGCCUUGUUAAAAGGCUCACUGCUUCUACGGCAAGUUGUGCUCUCGAUAAUGUGAAAGAGAGCAGCUCACACACGUGCUGGGCGGAACCCAUGCCCAUUUCCCACGGGUAACCUGUCUGGAGCAUCUAUCGCCACCUCCACUCACCUCCCCAGCAGCGGGAACGGACUGCUGAGAAGGCUCUCUGUAAAAAUAACCUUUCAGGCUCGUCAUCUCCUUGGAUCUCAUCUCUGAUCUAGCAGACAGGGAGGGUGUGGGCAGAGGCGGCAGCCGGGCCACCCUACCAAGGAGGCUGCAGGGAGGCAGGCAUUGUCUUCCCAUGGUUUGGGAAGGGGUACCACGCGAUGCCCAGCCCUGUCAGCCCGUGUGUCAUGCCCUGGAGGUUCACAUUUCCAAUUGAGAUGCACAGGCUCGAGGCUCCUGGUGGGGCAGUUUCCUGUCCUAAGUGGUGCCUGCCCUGAGGAGGGCCUGUGGCUGAGUCCUGUGGCUCUAGGGAGGGCAGUGUCCUGCCCGCUGCUUGCUUUGGGGGUCAGGACUGAUGCUGCCUCUCACUCUUAGAAGUGCCCCAGCCUGACGGCCAAGCCUGAGGUCAUUCAGAGGUGGCUGAGGUGCCCCCUCUCCUAGCCUCCACUCCCAGUCACACUGUGCCAGAGUGGCCCUGCAUGCCAACGCCCCGGGUGCAGGGCUGCCUCACCUGCUAACACGGAGACCCACUCGUUGCCAACACACAGAUACAGGCCCUUCCGGCUGGCAUCAAACCAGAACUGGGCGUCUUCCACCUCGGUACACGGUGGCUGGGGUCCCAGCGUCACUCGAAUGUUGGUUUCUGAGGGGAAGACCAGGAAGAUGAGUUUCCAGCAAGCCAGUGCCCCCAAAGGAAGACGACACAGGAAGAGGCCCCCAAACCAGGCUGCCCUGCCUCAGCCUCUGCAUGCGGGCCUGGAAGGGCCCCUGCAGGCACCUUGGCACAAGCCUGCCACAUCACAGACGGGGAAUUGAGAACCUGGCCUACCGGUGACGAAGGACAUCAUGAUGCCCCCUAUAUGGUCAGCCCACCCUCUGUCCACUCUGAAAGGCGUGGCUUUCCAUCCCAUUGAGGCAGAAAAGGCCUGCUCCUCUGAGAGUCCUCAGCGAUUGCACAGGGCAUGGUCCCCCCUCAGGAGGGAGUCCCUGUUGACAGUGGUGUAUCUUAACGACGGCUUGGCUUGAACCUGUGGCGGUUUGAUCUCAUCACUUCCAGUAAUCACACCCCACCAUGGGUCCUAAUUCUGCCACCUCUUGACUCUAUGUGGGACAUCUGUGCACCUGCCAGCCGGUGCUGGCCAGCGGUGUGACACAGUAUACCAUGCGGCCCGGAUGUGUUGGAGGUGGGGGCUCCCCUACUUGGUAACCGCUAACCCUGAGGCUCGGGGGCUCGGCUGUUCUCCACCUCACUGCCCCUCGGGUUGGCUGAGAGCAGUGGGGAUGCGGCGGGGAGGGGCAUUUCAGAUUCUCCAUGGCAGGAGUGUGGUUUAAAUAAAUACAGUCACCCUUGUAACUUCACACAAGAGAAAAUCAAGCGGGGAGGCCCUCUGGGCCGGGGGAUCGUGGAAGACGUGAGUGUAGGGCCAGAGUGGGCCCGACUGGGGCGGGCUGGUCUGGAUGAUGGUGGGACAGAGGCGGGGUGGGGAGAAAUGGCCCAAACGCUGUCCUUGGGGGGCAAAAGGGGAUGAGGGAUGUCAGAUAGCUCUGGACAGACUUUCUAAAGUAAGUUAGGCCUGUUUUCUGCCUGGGGUCCCCAGGAAGGGGCUGGAUGGCUGUCGUGGGAGUGCUUGGAGGGAAGGGCAGGAUGACACUGGCCUGUCUGAUGGUGCCGCCUGCCUUCCUAGGGGUGGGCCCCGAGUAUCCCCCUGGCCAAUAUGACCGCUGCCCCCCGUAGCAGUGAUGAGGGGGGCAGGCACACGAGAGGGGCUGAGAGCUGAGCCCUGAGUUCCCGCCUGGUGUGAGGCCAGGGCUCUCGCAUCUGCCUUUGGUGUGGGGGCGGGUGGCCCCCCUACUAACCAUAGGGAUAUUUUAGCACCUCGUUAUCUUCUGGCUUCCCCGUGAGAGCCUGCAGGACCCGUGGGAUGGACAGCACCGCCAGCGGGGCGUUCCUGCUGGGACACAGCCUUGGGGUGGCGUCUGAGCCCGGCAGCAGGACCAGUUGCCUCACCAGUCCCUGCAGAGAGAGGGACAGCUCCUUCAGGCCCGCGCUGCUGGGGAAGGACCCGCUGAGGAGGCGACCACUGAGCUUGGCCCAUCCAGAGCCCGGAGGAGGCUCGGGUGGAUGGAAUCUAAGCUUUUGCAGAGCUAACUGGGAAGAGUUUACAUGAUGGUUACUGAGGAGGCCAUGGGAGCAAUGGUGAAGAAUUGCCCCCCUUCCGAGGGAACUGAACCACAGAAGGGGUUUUUUAUGUGAACUUAGAGUGACUGGCUACUCUGCUCAUCCAACAGCCCAUCCACCCAUCCUGUUCAUCCAUGCAUUCAUCCAUCCAUCUGUCCAUCCAUCAGUCCAAUCCAUUCAUCCAUCACUAAUCCAUCCAUCCCUCCACCUACCCAUCCAUUCAUCCAUGCAUUCAUCCAUCCAUCCACCCAUUCAUCCAUCACUCAUCCAUCCAUCCCUCCAUCCACCCAUCCAUUCAUCCAUCCAUUCAUCUUUCUCUCCAUCUGUUCAUCUCUCCACGCAUCCAUCCCUCCAUCCAUCCAUUCAUCUUUCUCUCCAUCUGUUCAUCUCUCCACGCAUCCAUCCAUCCAUCCAUCCAUUUGUCCAUCCCUCCAUCUGCCCAUCCAUCUGUCAAACCAUGCAUCAAUAAAUAUUCAGAGCAUCUGCUAUGUGCCAGGCAUGGCUCUAGACACUGGACUCAGCAGGGAACAAAGGCCUCUAGCCUCAUGGAGUGAGGUCCCCACUCACACGUGAGUGGAGACACAGGCACCGAGCAGACACCCAGCUGGCCUGAGAGCAGCAGGCCCUACUGAGGAAAGACAGCUCCGGGGAAGGGGCUGCAGGGCAGAGUGUGGGCAUCAGCUCAGCAUGGUGGGGGCAGCCUGAAGAGGACCGUUGGGCAGGGACCCAAGACCAUCAGGGAGGAGGGUGCCAGGAGGAAACAGCAAGCGUGAAGGCCCUGUGGUAGAGACUCCACGCACGCUGUACCUUCUUUUCCCAGUUAGCACGUCCAAGGAUCUGUCAACUAGAGCAGUAGGACAACUGGCCUGGGGCAGUCCCAUCCCGCAGCACGGGUGUUGGGAAGGCAGCCCCUCCAUACUCGCCAUGAACAGGCCUUUGGCUCUCCUCCGGCUGCCGACGAAGAAUCGAGCUCCUUUCACUGACAGGGUGGCUGGGAAGGGCACAUCGGCCAUUCUGAAAAUAUCAAAGGACUGUGUUAGGGCCAUAGGAGAGUGGUCACCCCAGUUUACUCACAGAAGGAACAGGAACAAGCCCCUCACUAAGCAGCGUGCAUCUGUGCUGUGGCUGCCACACAAAGGAUGGCACACAGGGCUGAUCGCCUGCACAGCUCUGGAGCCCAGUAGCCUGGAUCAGGCUGGGGCAGGGUUUCUCCGAAGGCUCCAGAGGAGGACGCUUCCUCGACUCAUCAGCUUCUGGUGGCUGCACGUGCUCCCCGUGACCUGUGGCCAUGUCGCUCCAGUGUCCGACUCUCCCAGUAUCUGUCUCCUGGUAAGGAUCCUAGUCACACUGGAGCAGGGCCCGCCUCACUCCAGGAUGAUCUCAGCUUGACUUGAUGACUGCAAAGACUCUGUUUCCAGGUGAACGUUUGUCCAGGCCUCAGGCGCUGCCGCCACGUCAUUCCUAGCUGCUGUGGCAAAGCCAGAAGUCAGGCAGCAUUCACGUCCAGCCAGGACUUUCUUUACGGGGUGGGAAGCUGCUGCUAGGUCAGGUUGUCUUCAGCCUGCACAGCACGUCCCUGGGAGGCUUCCAGCUCUCAGGACCUGAGAACUCAUCACCGUCCUGAGGGCCCUAAAGAGUUUGGGGUAUGGUGGGAGAGAGGCUCUGAUAAAAGUGUGUUUAAGCUAAGUGCAUAAUAAAAAUAUUUAUGCGAUAAGUUUCAUAACAAAACAGAAGAUCCUACCUUUGAAAGUAAUAUUCGAAAUAAUUUAAUAUUUAAUAGAUUUAAUAUAAACUGGAUCAUUUGCAAUUAAAAAGACAGAAGCGCAGCCCUGCUCCACAGUGGUAGAUCCUGACAUGGGUAACCAACUGGCCGAGCUAGGGGACUGAGGACUCCUGUCCAGGGGACCUACCGUCAGGCCACAAACCAGGCGACGGCAAAAACGAGAAACGAACUCGGCUUCCAAAAGCCCCCAUUGUGUCCAAGGCUACAAAGGAUAAUCUUGUACUCAUUUGGAGUUUCUGUCAACAUCUGCUCCCUCGUCCACGAGGAACCUGCCAUGUGGAGUCACGGAGCCAGGCCUCGGCCUCCAGCCUGGAGGUUGGGGAAGGAGUUACUCUGACUUCCCGCUGCUGCCUGUUGUGAUGUUAGCGCCCUCCCCACAGUGCCGGUCCCCUGCCAAGUCCCCUGAGCUACUUCUGGAAAAGGAGUGCGCUUGGUGUGAUCGCCCUUACCUUGUUCUAAGCCACUGACUCUGAUGUGCAGCGGGUUUUGUGUUUAAGGCGUGGAGAAACAUUAAAAUCGGGGUUUUGACAGGA
Homo sapiens (human) is the source of this 4927-nucleotide long non-coding RNA. RefSeq lists it as uncharacterized. The transcript has 2 exons. Lineage: Eukaryota; Metazoa; Chordata; Mammalia; Primates; Hominidae. The record is from RefSeq and is a predicted model, not a curated record.